Long non-coding RNA from Neofelis nebulosa (Clouded leopard), 1014 nucleotides. RefSeq lists it as uncharacterized. NCBI's taxonomy places the organism in Eukaryota, Metazoa, Chordata, Mammalia, Carnivora, Felidae. The record is from RefSeq and is a predicted model, not a curated record. The transcript is spliced from 3 exons.
CUGCGCGUUCCUUGACUUCCUGUGAAACAGCCCCUCAGCCCCUCCCACGCCUGUGAAAGUGGGUUUUCUGAGCAUCAGGCCUGAACAGAAUUUCCUUUAGAAGCUGAGGUGGCCUGCUCUCUUUUUGCAGCCGAUACUUUCAUUCAGAAGCUCCGAUGGCCUUUUAGGUAAACCUACUCCUCCCCCUCCUCCCCUGCACUUUUCCUGGAAACGGCUUGCCAAGGUUUACUGGAACAAUAUGGCUCCGGCCCCCACACCAGCCAUGACCUUGAGAAGGGAGAAGACACUGAGCCACCCGAGGGCGUGACUAGAGGAGCUCGGAAGAACAGAGACCUCCAGAGACAAGAAGACAGAAGCUGAAGAGGCACGAGCAGGGGGCUGGAAGGUUCCGCAGAGUGUGCGCAGUGGCAAGUCUGGGCCUCGGCCUUUCUGGAGCUGCUGACACAUCGGCUGUCUACUCUCUUCUGCAAGAACACAGAUCGGGGCUGCUCUGGCUUCCGAAAGGUGCGGCCAAACAGCUCUGUGUGCAUCGGGGCCCCGAGCAUCGCCUGAGGAAAACAAGCGUUUUCUUCUAAGACGUCCUCUAAAGCCUCCUAUUUACGGAAAUGUAACUGGUCUCUCUUCCCAUGUGCGAAGUGCUAAGGCUGCACAGAUAUGCGCAGUCACUGGGUGCCAACAGGCUCCAUGCCCAAUGUGGACUCAUGACACACGACCCUGAGAUCAAGAGUUGGAUGGUCUACCAACUGAGACACCCAGGCACCCCACCUCCCCUUUUUUUAAAGUAAGCUUUAGCCCCAACCUGGGCUUGAACUCAGGACCCUGAGAUCAAGAGUCACCUGCCCUACCGACUGAGCAAGCCAGAUGCCCCCCAUCGUUGAUCCUUAAUUCCUUCCUCCAAAGAAUAUGUCUGUUACACAUUUUUGUGACCUUUCUCUUCCUUUUCUUAAAAUCAAUUCUGAAAAUAAAUUCCAAAAAAAGAAACAUGCCUUUAUAAAAAAGUUACUAAGUGUGAAA